AGUGAACGCUGGCGGUAGGCCUAACACAUGCAAGUCGAACGGCAGCACAGGAGAGCUUGCUCUCUGGGUGGCGAGUGGCGGACGGGUGAGGAAUACAUCGGAAUCUACUCUGUCGUGGGGGAUAACGUAGGGAAACUUACGCUAAUACCGCAUACGACCUACGGGUGAAAGCAGGGGACCUUCGGGCCUUGCGCGAUUGAAUGAGCCGAUGUCGGAUUAGCUAGUUGGCGGGGUAAAGGCCCACCAAGGCGACGAUCCGUAGCUGGUCUGAGAGGAUGAUCAGCCACAAUGAAACUGGGACACGGUCCAGACUCCUACGGGAGGCAGCAGUGGGGAAUAUUGGACAAUGGGCGCAAGCCUGAUCCAGCCAUACCGCGUGGGUGAAGAAGGCCUUCGGGUUGUAAAGCCCUUUUGUUGGGAAAGAAAUCCAGCUGGCUAAUACCCGGUUGGGAUGACGGUACCCAAAGAAUAAGCACCGGCUAACUUCGUGCCAGCAGCCGCGGUAA
Molecule: ribosomal RNA, 506 nt
Filed under: uncultured bacterium
Lineage: Bacteria
Description: partial 16S ribosomal RNA
Rfam family: Bacterial small subunit ribosomal RNA
Source: RNAcentral